Molecule: ribosomal RNA, 254 nt
Filed under: uncultured bacterium
Lineage: Bacteria
Description: partial 16S ribosomal RNA
Rfam family: Bacterial small subunit ribosomal RNA
Source: RNAcentral
UACGUAGGGUGCAAGCGUUUGUCCGGAAUUAUUGGGCGUAAAGCGUCCGCAGGUGGCACCUCAAGUCUGCUGUCAAAGACCGGGGCUUAACCCCAGAAAGGCAGUGGAAACUGAAGUGCUAGAGUGCAGUAGGGGUAGAGGGAAUUCCCGGUGUAGCGGUGAAAUGCGUAGAGAUCGGGAAGAACAUCGGUGGCGAAAGCGCUCUGCUGGACUGCAACUGACACUCAGGGACGAAAGCUAGGGGAGCGAACAGG